UGCCAGACUCCUACGGGAGGCAGCAGUGGGGAAUAUUGCACAAUGGGGGAAACCCUGAUGCAGCAACGCCGCGUGAGUGAAGAAGUAUUUCGGUAUGUAAAGCUCUAUCAGCAGGGAAGAAGAUGACGGUACCUGAGUAAGAAGCCCCGGCUAACUACGUGCCAGCAGCCGCGGUAAUACGUAGGGGGCAAGCGUUAUCCGGAUUUACUGGGUGUAAAGGGAGCGUAGACGGCUGCGCAAGUCUGAAGUGAAAGCCCGGGGCUCAACCCCGGGACUGCUUUGGAAACUGUGUAGCUAGAGUGCUGGAGAGGCAAGCGGAAUUCCUAGUGUAGCGGUGAAAUGCGUAGAUAUUAGGAAGAACACCAGUGGCGAAGGCGGCUUGCUGGACAGUAACUGACGUUGAGGCUCGAAAGCGUGGGGAGCAAACAGGAUUAGAUACCCGAGUAUA
RNAcentral lists this ribosomal RNA (448 nucleotides) under uncultured bacterium. RNAcentral's name for it is "bacterial SSU rRNA". It matches the Rfam family "Bacterial small subunit ribosomal RNA", at positions 329 to 794 of the family's 1533-position model. The record is from RNAcentral.